Molecule: transfer RNA, 63 nt
Filed under: Coriobacteriaceae bacterium
Lineage: Bacteria; Bacillati; Actinomycetota; Coriobacteriia; Coriobacteriales; Coriobacteriaceae
Description: tRNA-Arg
Rfam family: tRNA
About the family: Transfer RNA (tRNA) molecules are approximately 80 nucleotides in length.
Source: RNAcentral
GUUACCUCAGCUGGAUAGAGGAACUGACUACGAAUCAGUCUGUCAUAGGUUCGAAUCCUAUAC